CCUGACGAGAAACGAGCAAAGGACAUUCUCAAGAGAACGACAAAACGAAUUGGGAACCGAUUCGAAACAGGGCUUCUGUGGCGAGAUGAUAAUCGUGUUUUUCCAAACAGCUAUCCUACAGCAGAAAAGCGCAUGCAACAACUGGCGAAGCGUCUGAAAAAGAAUCCAGCCUUGGAGUCAAAGGUAGCCAAAAUGAUUAAAGAGUACGAGCGAAAGGGCUAUGCCCAUAAGAUCACCGAUGAUGAAUUAUCUGGAUUCUCGCCACAAGAGGUGUGGUAUCUACCCCUUAACGUGGUACACAAUGCUAAGAAACCAGAAAAGAUCCGUUUAGUGUGGGACGCAGCGUCAACGGUGGCAGGAGUUUCGUUGAACUCUAUGCUACUUAAAGGACCAGCUAUGUUGGUUCCUUUACCGAGAGUCGUGUGUCGAUUUCGAGAACGUCGCCUUUGGAGGCGACUUGAAGGAAAUGUAUCAUCAGUUGCGCAUAAAAAAUGAGGAUAAACAGGCGCAACGAUUUUUGUUCGGCAGCGAUACGAAAGUCAAGUCACAGGUUUACGUUAUGGACGUAGCUACGUUCGGUGCUACGUGCUCACCCUGUUCAGCGCAAUUCGUGAAGAACAUGAACGCCCUUGAGUUCAGUGAACAGUAUCCAGAGGCAGCGCGAGCAAUCAUAGAAAAACACUAUGUUGACGACUACUAUGAUAGUGUUGAUACAGAAGCGGAAGCCAUUAAGCUGGCAAAGGAAGUCCGGCACAUUCACGCCCAAGGAGAAUUUCAUAUCCGCAAUUGGAUGUCCAAUUCAUCGGCAUUCUUGGAUGAGGUUGGAGCGAGAAGCGAGAAAGCAGCGUUGCAGUUUUCAAGCGAUCAGAGCACCACAUAUGAUCGUGUUUUGGGGAUUAGUUGGAGAUCAAAAGACGAUGUUUUUUGCUUCAGUGUGCUGUCAGACGCGGAUCAUCAAAGGUUCAUCGUUGAUGGAUUUCGACCCUCGAAGCAGAUUGUGUUGAGCGUGGUGAUGACUUCAUUCGACCCGGUGGGUCUGAUUACUCCAAUCACUAUUCGAGGUAAGAUGCUGAUUCAGGACUUAUGGCGAACCGGAUGUGACUGGGACUCGAAUAUUGACUCCGAAUCGUUUGAAAAAUGGAAACGAUGGCUAAUGUUGGUGCAACAGGUGGGGUCGUGUCUAAUUCCUCGUAGUUACUUCGGAAGAGUACCUUCAACUGAGAUCGAGAAGAUAGAGCUACACGUAUUUUGCGAUGCGAGUGAAACAGGGUUUGAUGCAGUUGCCUACUUCAGAGCGAAUAUUGGUGGAGCAGUUAGUUGUUUACUGGUAAUGAGUCGUGCCAAGGUGGCUCCUCUGAAGCCGAUGUCGAUACCUCGUCUGGAACUUGAAGUGGCAAUUCUAGGAGUACGUCUAUCGACAAAGGUGCUGGAGAAUCAUUCAUUGAACAUCUCUCGUACAUACUACUGGACUGAUGCAAAGGUAGUUUUAUCUUGGAUACGCUCGGAUCCGAGACGCUAUAAGCAGUUUAUUGGCUUACGUGUGGGUGAGAUUCUGCAUACAUCGAGCGUUGAAGACUGGAAUUGGGUGCCAUCGAAAUCCAAUCCAGCGGAUCUAUUGACGAAGUGGGGAAAUUCUCUUGACAUGACACCGGAAAGCAGUUGGUUAAAGGGACCUUCAUUUCUGUACAUCGAAGAGGAGAAUUGGCCGCAGCAAGAGCCUCCACCGCUUAACACAAUUGAAGAUUUAAGAGUUCAUCUUCUAAUCCACGACGUGAACAUUCCCUUUCGCAUUAUUGAUGUGGAUCGCUUCUCAAAAUGGACGGUAUUAGUGCGCGCCAUGGCGUGUGUGUUUCGAUUCAUCUACAACUGCAGGAAGAAGGCAGAAGGUAAACCCUUAGAAAUGUUGCAAGUGACUGAUAGACAAUGAAAACUGCUGAUGCACUUGAAAGUUGAGACGAAACGGGUUCCGUUGCAACAACUGGAGUACGAGAAAGCAGAACAAGCGCUAUUGAAGAUGGCGCAAGUCGAUUGUUUCAUUGAUGAGCUGAAGAUAUUAAUGAAGAACAAAAAUCGACCAACUAAUCUAUGGAUUAAUUUUGAAAAAGGCAGUGCAUUGUAUGAGCUUUCGCCGAUGUUGGAUGAGCAUGAUAUUAUUCGUGUGGAAGGUCGGAUGGAACGAGCGGAAUUUCUUCCUUUCAGUUUGAGAUUCCCAAUAAUAUUACCCAGCGAUCAUAGGGUCACCCGACUGAUAGUACGUCAUCAUCAUGAGAAGAGCGGACAUGGCUACCGCGAAGCUGUGAAAAAUGAGCUACGACAGCUCUACCACAUCAUACAUCUCGACGCUACCGUGCGAAAGGAGGCUGCAGCCUGUGUCUGGUGUAAGAGGUUUGCUACUACAACGGAGUACACGGGUGCUUAAAAUAUAAAUGCUGUGGAACUUCCCUAAAAUCUCCAAAAAAAAUUUCGAGGGUACAAAAGCACCACCAAGAACAGAUAAGGAAUUUCGAGAUGAAAAACCCAGUUCUACAGGCCACCGGAGAGGUAAAACACCUCUUACGGAUUUAACACGAUUCGACAUGAUAAAAGUUAUAACUACUAGUGAUUUACUACAUUUAAUACAAUUAGGUAUAGUUUUCAAACUUCUGCUAGGCUGGGUCGAAGGAGCUCUUGCUCCUUUUAAAAAAUGGUGCAAAGAAGAUAUUAUUGAAAUAUCAGAAGAGCUUAUCAGCAUAUUAUUGCCCUCAGAAAUCCAUAGAAAGUUUAGGUCCCUUAAUUAUUUGCACUUUUGGAAAGGUACAGAAUUUGGUAGUUUUUUGCAUUACGCAGGUAUAGUUGUUUUGCAAGAUAGAAUAGGGAAACUAGCAUAUGAACAUUUUAAAUUAUUAUAUUGCGCUAUAACGAUGUUAUCGUCUCGGGCAUUUAAGGAUCAGUGGGAAUAUGCAGGUACAUUAUUGAAGCAAUUUGUAGAGGAUUACAGUGUUGUUUAUGACCGUGUACAUCUUGUUAGUAACGUUCAUCUUUUGCUUCAUGUAUACGAAGAGGUAGACAGAUUAGGCCCUUUGAUAACUUUUUCGAUGCAUGCUUGUGAAAAUAUGCUACAGAUAAUAAAACAUAGCUACGUAACAUCUGGUUAUAGAAGUUUACAUCAAACUAUAGGAAAAAUUCCGGUCUCGUAGUACAGUCGUCAACUCGUACGACUUAACAACAUGCCCGUCAUGGGUUCAAUCCCCAAAUAGAC
RNA transcript from Anopheles arabiensis, 3238 nucleotides. RefSeq lists it as uncharacterized. The record is from RefSeq and is a predicted model, not a curated record. The transcript has 2 exons. NCBI's taxonomy places the organism in Eukaryota, Metazoa, Arthropoda, Insecta, Diptera, Culicidae.